UACAGAGGGUGCAAGCGUUAAUCGGAAUUACUGGGCGUAAAGCGCACGUAGUCGGCUUUGCAAGUCGGGUGUGAAAUCCCCGGGCUCAACCUGGGAACUGCAUCCGAGACUGCAUUGCUAGAGUAUGGGAGAGGGAAGCGGAAUUCCUGGUGUAGCGGUGAAAUGCGUAGAUAUCAGGAGGAACACCGGUGGCGAAGGCGGCCCUCUGGACGGAUACUGACGCUGAGGCGCGAAAGCCAGGGGAGCAAACGGG
This 253-nucleotide ribosomal RNA is filed under the name uncultured bacterium. RNAcentral describes it as "partial 16S ribosomal RNA". It matches the Rfam family "Bacterial small subunit ribosomal RNA", at positions 524 to 776 of the family's 1533-position model. The record is from RNAcentral.